This 501-nucleotide ribosomal RNA is filed under the name Pseudogymnoascus pannorum. RNAcentral describes it as "eukaryotic LSU rRNA". The stretch from base 138 to 291 matches the Rfam family "5.8S ribosomal RNA". The record is from RNAcentral. Lineage: Eukaryota; Fungi; Ascomycota; Leotiomycetes; Thelebolales; Thelebolaceae.
UACCUACCACCCUUUGUUUAUUACACUUUGUUGCUUUGGCAGGCCUGCCCUCGGGCUGCUGGCUCCGGCCGGCGAGCGCCUGCCAGAGGACCUAAACUCUGUUUGUCUAUAUCGUCUGAGUACUAUAUAAUAGUUAAAACUUUCAACAACGGAUCUCUUGGUUCUGGCAUCGAUGAAGAACGCAGCGAAAUGCGAUAAGUAAUGUGAAUUGCAGAAUUCAGUGAAUCAUCGAAUCUUUGAACGCACAUUGCGCCCCCUGGUAUUCCGGGGGGCAUGCCUGUCCGAGCGUCAUUACAACCCUCAAGCUCAGCUUGGUAUUGGGCCCCGCCGCUCCGGCGGGCCCUAAAGUCAGUGGCGGUGCCGUCCGGCUCCGAGCGUAGUAAUUCUUCUCGCUCUGGAGGUCCGGUCGUGUGCUCGCCAGCAACCCCCAAUUUUUUUCAGGUUGACCUCGGAUCAGGUAGGGAUACCCGCUGAACUUAAGCAUAUCAAUAAACGAGAGGA